This 1531-nucleotide long non-coding RNA is filed under the name Olea europaea (common olive). RNAcentral describes it as "long non-coding RNA (OEUR_LNC010220)". Lineage: Eukaryota; Viridiplantae; Streptophyta; Magnoliopsida; Lamiales; Oleaceae. The record is from RNAcentral.
AGAAAAUUUUUGUUAACAAGUGAAUGAAGAGUGGUCUAAGAUUUUCCCACUUAAGUCACAGAAAUUUACCAACAUGAUAUUCCACAAUAUUUGUUGUAAGCUAAGUCUUCUAAUAUGUUUUCUAUAGAAUUCAAUAUUUUUGGAUCACUAAAUGCAGAUAACAAGAAGAACCAUGUCUUCUCCACUAAGAAGCACAAACAUGCAAACACAAACACGCCGUGAUUUUUCAAAAAAGUAGGACAAGGGCACGUCGUUUUGAGAUUUUACGUUUAUAUAUUAUGUCCUUAUUUUUAUAAUUCAUAAAUUCAGUACUUUUUCUAGAUUUGAUUUUAAUUGGUGAAAUCUUUUAUAUUGUUUGAGUCUUUUUAUUUUAUUUAAAUAAGUUUGAGCUACACUAUAAAUACCAGCAUCAGAAAAAGAAAAAUGCAUAUAGCAGGUGUAAAACAUGUCCUUGGAAUGUCCGAGGAAUGUCGGACACGGAAGUCUCGGAGAGAUAAAUGGAGGGUCUGUGUCAUGUUGCCUUUUGCCAUUGGCUUUUGGUUACAUUGAAUUUAAUGUUUUAGCACAUUUGUGUUGAUGUGACAUGGACAUGAGAUGGAGGAUUGGAUUAUGGUGAAACCAACUUUUAUUUAUUUUUCUUGGUUAUCUUGAUGAUUCUAUCUACAUUAGUUGUGUUUGAAAAGUCUACUAAACCAUGUGAGAAAAAGUCAUGCACCCACUACCCUUUGUAAGAAAAGCUUUUCUCAAGAAAUUUAAUUAUUGAAUUCAAUAUGACACCAUGAUUUACAGUAUAAUUCAUCCCAGCAAUUAAGAAUAUUCACCCAGCAUAAUUUUCCUUCAGCCAUAUUAUCUUACUCAAGUAAGGGUGAGCUGGUCAACCCUCCAUUUUGAGUGGUCAGAGUCAUCCAUGAACAUUAACCAUAGUAGAAGAACUUAACGUGUAUAAAUAAAAUUGACCAUAAGCAAUGGUAUCAUGCCAAGACCACAUCUAAUCGCGUGUAUCAUUAUUUUCCGCGAUUCAUUGACUUUGCGCAAAUUGCAUUGUUCAAUGAGAUUCAUCCAUUUGCCAAUAGCAGUUCAAAAAAUUCGCCUGCAUUUUCUGGAUCAGUCAAGUAACGUACCAUUGCCAAAGUGAAAUAAGUCUAUCACCAAAAAGACCUUGUAAGGCCUGUGUGGGUAUUUUGGCAAGCAAAUGAAGGAAAAAGAAAGUAGAAAUCCUUCCAUGUGUGCAUAUACUCAAAGUACCAGACAGUAGCAUUCUUCCAUGUUUCCCUUUUCUGGAAUAUAGAUCAAACAAAACCUCUUUCGACGCUACAACAACUUCAAAUAAAGUAACACCUCUCCAAAUAAAAUUUCUGAAGAUAAACAAUUAUUUUCUGUUUUCCUUUUCUGUGUCAGUAUUCAGUCAACUAGUGUUUUAUUAUUAUUUCUUUUACCUAACUAUGUAUUUAUUAUUUGCUUGAAUUUUUUUUCCCCAGGGGUGGAUAAGCGUUGCAAGAGCAGAGAAAAAUAGAAAAUAAAUACAACUUAC